This 1017-nucleotide long non-coding RNA is filed under the name Malus domestica (apple). RNAcentral's name for it is "long non-coding RNA (MDOM_LNC003196)". Lineage: Eukaryota; Viridiplantae; Streptophyta; Magnoliopsida; Rosales; Rosaceae. The record is from RNAcentral.
UUCCUCUAUUCAAUCCAUUUAAGAUUUUGACAUCAAAACCCAGCGAACAGCUUACCCUCCUGAGUCCUCAGCAUUGCCUCCCAGUGCCUUCGAUGGCCGAUGAGUUUUGUUUUUCCCUUCCUCUUUCUUGUUCGUCGAACAGCUCUCCAAAAUGAUUUUAUUACGUGCGAUUUGAAGAUUUAGAGUUUUGUAUUAACCUCCAUGAAACCUUAAUUGACUAAUUUAUAUCUCAAAUGCACAACAGAAUAAAACCCAUUUUUGAGAAUUCCUGCAAUUUUUUUCUCCUAAAUUAAAUUCCUAAUGUUAGAGUAAAUGUAGAAAUAUAGAGAAUAAUCCGAAUGAUGACUUUGAUGUACGACUUGAAUCGUUUCCUUAAAGUGUUAUUUACCUUCACUCGAAUGAGUUUGCUAAAGGGUUCUUGACAAAUCACUUCGAGGAUACACCAAAGUAUGAAAUAUUUGAUCAGCAAAACCGAAUUAUAUUCCUUUAUAAAUAACUAAAAAGAAAUUGUAUGAAUGUGAUGGAGAGAAAAGAGAGCAAAGAAUGUAGAAACAAAUUUCUAAAAUUGUGGGUGAAACAUUAUGGUACAAUAGAUAUUUAUAGACAUUAAAGCACCCAUUUAUCUAGUCAUUUCAUUUUAGUUGAAGAUAUACAGCCCUUUUUGAUAGUGUUGACCCAAAAGACAUGUUUUUUAUUUAGAAAUUCCAGAAAAUAGAUAUUGACUAAUUACAUUUUUUAAUUCUAGUCAUACAAUUUGAACAAGCAUAAUGUCUUUUAACCAAAAAUUGUAACCAUUCAACAAAAUAUACAACCAUAAAAGGUUGAAUGAACCCCAACCUUCUAUAAAGGUUGCCACCCAUACACUUACACAUAUUAUAUACAUAAUAUAAUGGGUAAAUUACAUAGUAGCCCCUCAAGUUUGAGGUCUAUUACAACCCCAUACAUCAUCUUUAAAAUAUUUCACUUUCAUAUCUCACGUUCUAUUUUAUUUCAAAAUAAUACAUCCAUUAUAUUUUC